This 462-nucleotide ribosomal RNA is filed under the name uncultured bacterium. Its description in RNAcentral is "bacterial SSU rRNA". It matches the Rfam family "Bacterial small subunit ribosomal RNA", at positions 337 to 791 of the family's 1533-position model. The record is from RNAcentral.
UCCUACGGGGGGCAGCAGUGGGGAAUUUUGGACAAUGGGCGCAAGCCUGAUCCAGCAAUGCCGCGUGCAGGAUGAAGGCCUUCGGGUUGUAAACUGCUUUUGUACGGAGCGAAAAGGUCUCUUCUAAUACAGGAGGCCCAUGACGGUACCGUAAGAAUAAGCACCGGCUAACUACGUGCCAGCAGCCGCGGUAAUACGUAGGGUGCAAGCGUUAAUCGGAAUUACUGGGCGUAAAGCGUGCGCAGGCGGUGUUGUAAGACAGAGGUGAAAUCCCCGGGCUCAACCUGGGAACUGCCUUUGUGACUGCAACGCUAGAGUACGGCAGAGGGGGAUGGAAUUCCGCGUGUAGCAGUGAAAUGCGUAGAUAUGCGGAGGAACACCGAUGGCGAAGGCAAUCCCCUGGGCCUGUACUGACGCUCAUGCACGAAAGCGUGGGGAGCAAACAGGAUUAGAUACCCUGGU